GAUGAACGCUAGCGGGAGGCCUAACACAUGCAAGCCGAGCGGUAGAGUUUCUUCGGAAACUUGAGAGCGGCGCACGGGUGCGUAACACGUGUGCAACCUACCUUUAUCUGGGGGAUAGCCUUUCGAAAGGAAGAUUAAUACCCCAUAAUAUAAUGAUUGGCAUCAAUUAUUAUUGAAAACUCCGGUGGAUAGAGAUGGGCACGCGCAAGAUUAGAUAGUUGGUGAGGUAACGGCUCACCAAGUCAAUGAUCUUUAGGGGUCCUGAGAGGGAGAUCCCCCACACUGGUACGGAGACACGGACCAGACUCCUACGGGAGGCAGCAGUGAGGAAUAUUGGACAAUGGGUGAGAGCCUGAUCCAGCCAUCCCGCGUGAAGGAUGACGGUCCUAUGGAUUGUAAACUUCUUUUGUACAGGGAUAAACCUACCCUCGUGAGGGUAGCUGAAGGUACUGUACGAAUAAGCACCGGCUAACUCCGUG
Molecule: ribosomal RNA, 479 nt
Filed under: uncultured bacterium
Lineage: Bacteria
Description: partial 16S ribosomal RNA
Rfam family: Bacterial small subunit ribosomal RNA
Source: RNAcentral